UGGGGAAUCUUGCGCAAUGGGCGAAAGCCUGACGCAGCCAUGCCGCGUGAAUGAUGAAGGUCUUAGGAUUGUAAAAUUCUUUCACCGGGGACGAUAAUGACGGUACCCGGAGAAGAAGCCCCGGCUAACUUCGUGCCAGCAGCCGCGGUAAUACGAAGGGGGCUAGCGUUGCUCGGAAUUACUGGGCGUAAAGGGCGCGUAGGCGGACAUUUAAGUCAGGGGUGAAAUCCCAGAGCUCAACUCUGGAACUGCCUUUGAUACUGGGUGUCUUGAGUGUGAGAGAGGUAUGUGGAACUCCGAGUGUAGAGGUGAAAUUCGUAGAUAUUCGGAAGAACACCAGUGGCGAAGGCGACAUACUGGCUCAUUACUGACGCUGAGGCGCGAAAGCGUGGGGAGCAAACAGGAUUAGAUACCCCCGUAGUCCCUGAGCGGGCUGGCAAGGCGCAU
RNAcentral lists this ribosomal RNA (447 nucleotides) under uncultured bacterium. Its description in RNAcentral is "bacterial SSU rRNA". It matches the Rfam family "Bacterial small subunit ribosomal RNA", at positions 355 to 825 of the family's 1533-position model. The record is from RNAcentral.